This 1417-nucleotide ribosomal RNA is filed under the name Lactiplantibacillus plantarum. RNAcentral's name for it is "bacterial SSU rRNA". It matches the Rfam family "Bacterial small subunit ribosomal RNA". The record is from RNAcentral. RNAcentral also lists the same sequence under 1 other name. Lineage: Bacteria; Bacillati; Bacillota; Bacilli; Lactobacillales; Lactobacillaceae.
ACUCUGGUAUUGAUUGGUGCUUGCAUCAUGAUUUACAUUUGAGUGAGUGGCGAACUGGUGAGUAACACGUGGGAAACCUGCCCAGAAGCGGGGGAUAACACCUGGAAACAGAUGCUAAUACCGCAUAACAACUUGGACCGCAUGGUCCGAGUUUGAAAGAUGGCUUCGGCUAUCACUUUUGGAUGGUCCCGCGGCGUAUUAGCUAGAUGGUGGGGUAACGGCUCACCAUGGCAAUGAUACGUAGCCGACCUGAGAGGGUAAUCGGCCACAUUGGGACUGAGACACGGCCCAAACUCCUACGGGAGGCAGCAGUAGGGAAUCUUCCACAAUGGACGAAAGUCUGAUGGAGCAACGCCGCGUGAGUGAAGAAGGGUUUCGGCUCGUAAAACUCUGUUGUUAAAGAAGAACAUAUCUGAGAGUAACUGUUCAGGUAUUGACGGUAUUUAACCAGAAAGCCACGGCUAACUACGUGCCAGCAGCCGCGGUAAUACGUAGGUGGCAAGCGUUGUCCGGAUUUAUUGGGCGUAAAGCGAGCGCAGGCGGUUUUUUAAGUCUGAUGUGAAAGCCUUCGGCUCAACCGAAGAAGUGCAUCGGAAACUGGGAAACUUGAGUGCAGAAGAGGACAGUGGAACUCCAUGUGUAGCGGUGAAAUGCGUAGAUAUAUGGAAGAACACCAGUGGCGAAGGCGGCUGUCUGGUCUGUAACUGACGCUGAGGCUCGAAAGUAUGGGUAGCAAACAGGAUUAGAUACCCUGGUAGUCCAUACCGUAAACGAUGAAUGCUAAGUGUUGGAGGGUUUCCGCCCUUCAGUGCUGCAGCUAACGCAUUAAGCAUUCCGCCUGGGGAGUACGGCCGCAAGGCUGAAACUCAAAGGAAUUGACGGGGGCCCGCACAAGCGGUGGAGCAUGUGGUUUAAUUCGAAGCUACGCGAAGAACCUUACCAGGUCUUGACAUACUAUGCAAAUCUAAGAGAUUAGACGUUCCCUUCGGGGACAUGGAUACAGGUGGUGCAUGGUUGUCGUCAGCUCGUGUCGUGAGAUGUUGGGUUAAGUCCCGCAACGAGCGCAACCCUUAUUAUCAGUUGCCAGCAUUAAGUUGGGCACUCUGGUGAGACUGCCGGUGACAAACCGGAGGAAGGUGGGGAUGACGUCAAAUCAUCAUGCCCCUUAUGACCUGGGCUACACACGUGCUACAAUGGAUGGUACAACGAGUUGCGAACUCGCGAGAGUAAGCUAAUCUCUUAAAGCCAUUCUCAGUUCGGAUUGUAGGCUGCAACUCGCCUACAUGAAGUCGGAAUCGCUAGUAAUCGCGGAUCAGCAUGCCGCGGUGAAUACGUUCCCGGGCCUUGUACACACCGCCCGUCACACCAUGAGAGUUUGUAACACCCAAAGUCGGUGGGGUAACCUUUUAGGAACCAG